CUGUCUAAUUUUACAACUAAUGUGCUACUCUUUAGUGACAACUUUGUUACGUAUUUUGCGACCGUUCUGCCACAACAUUUGUUCUUGUUCUUGUUUGUGACUAACUUGCGACGACUUUUGCGACAACUUGUACAACCCGUUUGCGACCGAUUUGGGACCGUUUUCCGACUUUUACCAACUUUUAGGGUUUUCGAUUAGGCGGGCUAUUAUCCCUCGUGUUUUUUUGGUUGCGACCAAGUUGGGACGAGUUUGCGACUCCUAUUCUUUUAUUACUACCAACGAAAAGUCACAUUUCUCGAAUCUGAAACACUUUAGUCUUUAGUCUUCGAUUCCUCUCUUCGUUUCUUCUUCGAUUUCUCUCUUCAAUUCCUCUUUUUGAUUCGUUUUCCUCCUCGAUUCUUCUCUUCAAUUCCUCUUCGUUUCUUCAUUAAUUUGGUAGUAGAUCUUUGAUUCCUCUUCUUCUUCGUUUCUUCUUCGAUUCCUCUUCCUCUUCGUUUCUUCUUCGAUUCCUCUCUUCGCUUUAAUACCUUCUCUCUUUGUCCUCUCUUCGCUUUAAUACCUUCUCCUCUCAUCUCAAAACCCUAGCCGUCGUUGUCGUCGCCGCUUCUCCUCGUCGUCGCUUCUCCUCGUCGAAUGACACCUUUGUGUGGUGAGCUCGCGUGAUUUAGAUUUCAAGCUAUGUGUUCUCGGAUUUGAACAGUGAGUGGAGUCUCUCAUCUUAGUCUGAAGCUCUUUCUAAAGAAGUGUUGGGCGUUUUCAAACUAUAAAGAAAGGGAACGUGGAAGGAAAAAUAAGGAGCAGAUCUUAGCUUCAUUAUGUUGCCAAGUUCGAGUAUUGGUUGUUGGUGACUCAGUGGAGGCCUUUAAGAACAAAGGCAUAACUGGUAUAGGAGCUGCAAGGUUUUGUUGGGGUGGCGAGUUUGGUUUUCUUGUUUCUAUCACUUCUAUUAGAUUGGAUAACUAUGAGAGAGAGAAAGGAACAAGCAACUUGAAGAAUCACGCCUCAAGUGUUCCCUCUACAGUGGCUACUAUAUCCUAGGCACCGCCAAUGCAACCGCCAAUGCAACAGCCACUGCCAAUGCAACAGCCACAACCACUGCACAAAACAACGCAGAAGAAACCAUAGGAGAAACCAAUCCAGCCACUGCACCACAAGGAACUGUCGCAGCCACACCAAUAGUUUCUUCAUCAUCAUUCUAAGUACUUUCUUCAUCUUUUUUUCAUUUUGUUAUGAACAUUGAAGAUCCUUUUGAAUGUUUAAGGUUAUAUAUGUAAGGCUAUGUUACCAACAUUAGGGCUUUGAAACAAAUUUAAAUGAUCGCAGAUUUGUUUUUUGGUUUUC
This is a long non-coding RNA of Arabidopsis lyrata subsp. lyrata, 1341 nucleotides long. RefSeq lists it as uncharacterized. NCBI's taxonomy places the organism in Eukaryota, Viridiplantae, Streptophyta, Magnoliopsida, Brassicales, Brassicaceae. The transcript is spliced from 5 exons. The record is from RefSeq and is a predicted model, not a curated record.